Serratia sp. DD3 is the source of this 341-nucleotide regulatory RNA element. It matches the Rfam family "RNase E 5' UTR element". From Rfam's summary of the family: This family represents a conserved element found in the 5' UTR of RNase E mRNA. RNase E is a key regulatory enzyme in the pathway of mRNA degradation in E. coli that is able to auto-regulate the degradation of its own mRNA in response to changes in RNase E activity. Lineage: Bacteria; Pseudomonadati; Pseudomonadota; Gammaproteobacteria; Enterobacterales; Yersiniaceae. The record is from Rfam.
CUUUCCGUGCUGAUUCCCAUUAACAUGGGGAAAAUUGUGGAAUUAUAUAGUUUGUCUGAUAGCACAAAAGCGCAGCAAUGGCGUAAGACGCAAUGUGAAAUCAAACAAUUAGCGGGCUGCGGGUUGCAGCUUGGCCGCUAGAUGGAAUCAGAUCUGUCAACAUAAGUCAGAGGCUAUUCCCAGAGUUAAAAAGCGCUGUUUUUCAAAAAGAAAUUCAGGCUUGCCGAAAUUAUGCGCCCCUAUGCAAGCGACAACCGUGAGGUUGACGACUUUGCGAGAUGACACGGGGUUUUCGGUUGAACACGGCCAUGAAGUGAUUGUGCCCGCAGCUUUGUCGAUAA